UUUCGCCCGCCGGCGACCGGCGCACGGGUGAGUAACACGUAUGCAACCUGGCCGCCACAGGGGGAUAACCCGCGGAAACGCGGCCUAAUACCCCGUGACGCCACCGGAGGGCAUCCUCCGGUGGCCAAAGGAGCGAUCCGGUGGCGGAUGGGCAUGCGGCGCAUUAGCUAGACGGCGGGGUGACGGCCCACCGUGGCGACGAUGCGUAGGGGUUCUGAGAGGAAGGCCCCCCACACUGGGACUGAGACACGGCCCAGACCCCUACGGAAGGCAGCAG
RNAcentral lists this ribosomal RNA (277 nucleotides) under uncultured bacterium. RNAcentral describes it as "partial 16S ribosomal RNA". It matches the Rfam family "Bacterial small subunit ribosomal RNA", at positions 79 to 354 of the family's 1533-position model. The record is from RNAcentral.